RNAcentral lists this transfer RNA (76 nucleotides) under Candidatus Nomurabacteria bacterium RIFCSPHIGHO2_01_FULL_37_110. RNAcentral describes it as "tRNA-Ile". It matches the Rfam family "tRNA". Rfam says of the family: Transfer RNA (tRNA) molecules are approximately 80 nucleotides in length. Their secondary structure includes four short double-helical elements and three loops (D, anti-codon, and T loops). The record is from RNAcentral. RNAcentral also lists the same sequence under 3 other names. Lineage: Bacteria; Candidatus Nomuraibacteriota.
CCGCCCUUAGCUCAGUUGGUAGAGCAGACGACUUAUACUCGUCUUGUCCUUGGUUCGAGUCCAAGAGGGCGGACAA